Molecule: ribosomal RNA, 253 nt
Filed under: uncultured bacterium
Lineage: Bacteria
Description: partial 16S ribosomal RNA
Rfam family: Bacterial small subunit ribosomal RNA
Source: RNAcentral
CACGUAGGGCGCAAGCGUUGUCCGGAAUUAUUGGGCGUAAAGAGCUCGUAGGCGGUCUGUUGCGUCUGCUGUGAAAACUCGGGGCUUAACCCCGAGCCUGCAGUGGAUACGGGCAGACUAGAGGUAGGUAGGGGAGAAUGGAAUUCCCGGUGUAGCGGUGAAAUGCGCAGAUAUCGGGAGGAACACCGGUGGCGAAGGCGGCGUUCUGGACUGCAACUGACACUGAUGAACGAAAGCCAGGGGAGCAAACGGG